UGGUUAUUGGUGUAAUGGCAGCACGGCAGAUUGUGGUUCUGUUAGUAUCAGUUCGAUCCUGAUAUAUCCACCCA
This 74-nucleotide transfer RNA is filed under the name Lachnospiraceae bacterium. Its description in RNAcentral is "tRNA-His". It matches the Rfam family "tRNA". Rfam says of the family: Transfer RNA (tRNA) molecules are approximately 80 nucleotides in length. Their secondary structure includes four short double-helical elements and three loops (D, anti-codon, and T loops). RNAcentral also lists the same sequence under 1 other name. Lineage: Bacteria; Bacillati; Bacillota; Clostridia; Lachnospirales; Lachnospiraceae. The record is from RNAcentral.